Non-coding RNA from Acanthosepion pharaonis, 114 nucleotides. NCBI's taxonomy places the organism in Eukaryota, Metazoa, Mollusca, Cephalopoda, Sepiida, Sepiidae. The record is from the annotation of a GenBank genome assembly.
UUACGAUCAUAUCCCGUUGAAACACCGGUUCUCGUAAGAUCACCGAAGUUAAGCAACGUCGAGCCUGAUCAGUACCUAGAUGGGUAACCACUUCAAAAUACCAGGUGCUGUAAG